RNAcentral lists this ribosomal RNA (371 nucleotides) under uncultured Faecalibacterium sp. RNAcentral describes it as "bacterial SSU rRNA". It matches the Rfam family "Bacterial small subunit ribosomal RNA", at positions 355 to 740 of the family's 1533-position model. Lineage: Bacteria; Bacillati; Bacillota; Clostridia; Eubacteriales; Oscillospiraceae. The record is from RNAcentral.
UGGGGAAUAUUGCACAAUGGGGGAAACCCGUCGAUGCAGCGACGCCGCGUGGAGGAAGAAGGUCUUCGGAUUGUAAACUCCUGUUGUUGGGGAAGAUAAUGACGGUACCCAACAAGGAAGUGACGGCUAACUACGUGCCAGCAGCCGCGGUAAAACGUAGGUCACAAGCGUUGUCCGGAAUUACUGGGUGUAAAGGGAGCGCAGGCGGGAAGACAAGUUGGAAGUGAAAUCCAUGGGCUUAAACCCAUAAACUGCAUUUGAAACUGUAUCUCUUGAGUGUCGGAGAGGUAGACGGAAUUCCUAGUGUAGCGGUGAAAUGCGUAGAUAUUAGGAGGAACACCAGUGGCGAAGGCGGUCUACUGGACGAUAAC